AGCAUUCAAAACAGCAUCGGCCAUAACAACAGAAAUGGCCAGUCAGUCCCAAGGUAUCCAGCAGCUUCUGCAAGCUGAGAAGCGGGCAGCUGAGAAGGUGGCAGAUGCCAGAAAGAGGAAGGCCCGGCGACUGAAGCAGGCAAAGGAGGAGGCACAGAUGGAGGUGGAGCAAUACCGCAGAGAGCGAGAGCACGAAUUCCAGAGCAAGCAGCAGGCGGUGAGUUGAGGCAGAGUCGGGUUGAGACCCCACUGCAAGUUGGUGGGUGCAUCUAGUGAGGUGUGUAAGGGUGACUCAACAAGAAAAUAUGGUGGCAGAGGGCUGAGGCUGAGGGGACCCUGGCAGGGACCACAACAUUGGUGAAACUUUGUGAUGAUAUGUAGGAGAGUCUGGGAGUUUUGAAGGCCACAUAGAGCUUGUGGGCGGAAUGCCACAGUCUGUGUAAAGUAUAACAUCUAUGUGGAGUAUGAUUAACAUUUGUGGUGGAGGGUAGAGUUUUAUGGUCAUGGAUGGUGAGGUGGUGGGGAUAUUACGGUCUGUUUUAGGAUGAAGUUGCAUGUUAGGUCUAAGGG
This 570-nucleotide long non-coding RNA is filed under the name Homo sapiens (human). RNAcentral describes it as "non-protein coding lnc-ATP6V1G2-DDX39B-1:4". Lineage: Eukaryota; Metazoa; Chordata; Mammalia; Primates; Hominidae. The record is from RNAcentral.